UUAUAGAUAGCACAACAAAGCAACACUAUUCAAAUAUACAUUAAGCAUCAAUAUGCACUUAGUCAACAUCAUAUCAAUUUCUAUAGUAAGUCUUGUGGAUAGCACAACAAGCUCACUAAGAUCUUGACAUACUUUGUUAACCAAGUAUGAAGGAAGGUCCUUGUAGUGUCUACAUCACUAUUCAAUCUAAGUCUGAAACUCAAUAAGACCAAAUUAGCCAGAUC
Molecule: long non-coding RNA, 224 nt
Filed under: Elaeis guineensis (African oil palm)
Lineage: Eukaryota; Viridiplantae; Streptophyta; Magnoliopsida; Arecales; Arecaceae
Description: long non-coding RNA (EGUI_LNC044766)
Source: RNAcentral